UGGUAGUGAGAGAUUUAAAAUUUGUUCAAGUUGUGGCAGUCUAUGUUUUUUACACUAACACUAGUCAUCGGCCAACUGAAAUAGCAGGCCUGUGUAUGGAAGCUUCUCAAAAGAGUUUUUCAAGAUCUCUCGUGAUGUAUUCUGGAACACAUCCAAACGGAGCCUAGUCUAGAAUCCUUUUUUCGCAAUAAAAUAAAAUAAAAUAAAAUAAAAUAUAAUCCUUUUAGUUUUCCUGUUCAACACUCUUUGAAAUGCUCUAUCUUCGAAGUAUGCCGUAAUUAGACUAUAAUCUGUGAAGUACCACAUAAUACAUUUCAAUCCGUUGAAAAUGCACCUUUGUGCAGGCAAAAAGCUUGCUGGUGUUGCUGGUGUUGUAGUAUCCUGCUGCCUGCACUUACGAUCCAUCUUCCAGUAUAACAAGAGAAUAGGAACAGCAAGAAACAGUUUCCUUUGGAAAAGAAACAGCAUAUUGUUCUUAAACCCAAAUGGCAAACAGAAGGUACACAGAAUAUUACAAAACGACUCGCUUAACUCAUCUUUACAAGGGUGUUCCAAUUAUACUGUAAAAGACAAACAAUCUCUGCAGCUACCAAAUGUCCCAACCAAAUCCUAAUAGUAUCC
RNAcentral lists this long non-coding RNA (621 nucleotides) under Setaria viridis. RNAcentral's name for it is "long non-coding RNA (SVIR_LNC000253)". The record is from RNAcentral. Lineage: Eukaryota; Viridiplantae; Streptophyta; Magnoliopsida; Poales; Poaceae.